CAACCCUCUCACCUCCGGGUGUGGUGUUGGGGAUCGGCCAGCAGCCCCUAGCGGGCGGCGGCCGUCCCCUAAAUCUAGUGGCGGACCCGUCGUGGCCUCCCCUGCGUAGUAGUGAUACCCCGCACCGGACAGCGACGAGCCCCUGCCGUAAAACCCCCCAACUUCCAAA
This 169-nucleotide unclassified non-coding RNA is filed under the name Sesquicillium phyllophilum. Its description in RNAcentral is "Clonostachys phyllophila partial internal transcribed spacer 2". The record is from RNAcentral. Lineage: Eukaryota; Fungi; Ascomycota; Sordariomycetes; Hypocreales; Bionectriaceae.